GAGUUUGAUCCUGGCUCAGAUUGAACGCUGGCGGCAGGCCUAACACAUGCAAGUCGAGCGGUAGAGAGAAGCUUGCUUCUCUUGAGAGCGGCGGACGGGUGAGUAAUGCCUAGGAAUCUGCCUGGUAGUGGGGGAUAACGCUCGGAAACGGACGCUAAUACCGCAUACGUCCUACGGGAGAAAGCAGGGGACCUUCGGGCCUUGCGCUAUCAGAUGAGCCUAGGUCGGAUUAGCUAGUUGGUGAGGUAAUGGCUCACCAAGGCGACGAUCCGUAACUGGUCUGAGAGGAUGAUCAGUCACACUGGAACUGAGACACGGUCCAGACUCCUACGGGAGGCAGCAGUGGGGAAUAUUGGACAAUGGGCGAAAGCCUGAUCCAGCCAUGCCGCGUGUGUGAAGAAGGUCUUCGGAUUGUAAAGCACUUUAAGUUGGGAGGAAGGGCAGUAAAUUAAUACUUUGCUGUUUUGACGUUUACCGACAGAAUAAGCACCGGCUAACUCUGU
This 503-nucleotide ribosomal RNA is filed under the name uncultured bacterium. Its description in RNAcentral is "bacterial SSU rRNA". It matches the Rfam family "Bacterial small subunit ribosomal RNA", at positions 9 to 506 of the family's 1533-position model. The record is from RNAcentral.